Molecule: ribosomal RNA, 253 nt
Filed under: uncultured bacterium
Lineage: Bacteria
Description: partial 16S ribosomal RNA
Rfam family: Bacterial small subunit ribosomal RNA
Source: RNAcentral
UACGGGGGGGGCAAGCGUUGUUCGGAAUUACUGGGCGUAAAGGGCUCGUAGGUGGCCAACUAAGUCAGACGUGAAAUCCCUCAGCUUAACUGGGGAGCUGCGUCUGAUACUGGAUGGCUUGAGUUUGGGAGAGGGAUGCGGAAUUCCAGGUGUAGCGGUGAAAUGCGUAGAUAUCUGGAGGAACACCGGUGGCGAAGGCGGCAUCCUGGACCAACACUGACACUGAGGAGCGAAAGCCAGGGGAGCAAACGGG